Molecule: non-coding RNA, 26 nt
Filed under: Cricetulus griseus (Chinese hamster)
Lineage: Eukaryota; Metazoa; Chordata; Mammalia; Rodentia; Cricetidae
Source: RNAcentral
UAAACCUGAGGCAAGGGAGAAGGAGA